This is a long non-coding RNA of Numida meleagris (helmeted guineafowl), 3924 nucleotides long. RefSeq lists it as uncharacterized. The transcript is spliced from 3 exons. NCBI's taxonomy places the organism in Eukaryota, Metazoa, Chordata, Aves, Galliformes, Numididae. The record is from RefSeq and is a predicted model, not a curated record.
AUCGACUGGAAUUACAGUCAGGAAAAACAUCCCAGGUCAGUAUGCAACUCAUCGGCCUCCAGCCGUGGAGAAAUCCCCAUUGUGCAUAGGGCAGAUCUCUGGCUCUGCAGUUCAGAUGCAAAAAGGUGGCUGCGCUUUGGGUGGAGAUGUGCAUUUUACAAAGGGGCACCUUUUCUUAUGUCAGGGUCUGAAUGUAGAUUAAGAGUUCCACAGAAGUCCACAAAGCUAUGGCAAUUCAAAAUGCCUCAGAGCCCCGUUUAUGGAAUGCAGACGAGGAAUAUGAAAGGAACAGAUGUAACAUGUUCUUAGGUAUGUGGUGAAUGUCUCAGAUGGUAAAACAAGAUGGUAGUGAGCCUAGGAACCCCUAGGGAGUUAAAUUACUUAACUGUAAUGCCUCAUCAGUCAGAAGCUUGUACUAAAAGGCUGUAGAUCCCUGGCAAAGCUGUCCGAGCAGAGAUCAGCAAAGGGCUCCCUCACACCAAGGGUUCUGCUAUCCGUGAUGCGGGUAAGAGGAAACACUUGUUGCCCUUGAGAAAAGAGCAUUAAGAUUCCUGUUCUUUUGCACCGCCCAGGUUGCUGAGAGCACGGUACUCCAACUGGCAAGAGAAAAGAGAAGAAAACUGGACACAUCCAGCAUAGGCUGGACUUUCCUUCUGGAUUCACCUACUUGACACCAGUUUGUUUGGUUGCUCCUUCUGGACACUGAGCCUCGGUUGGCUUUCUUAUACAACAUGCUGAUUUUACAGUAUGACUUGGCAAACUACAACUGAAGCAACCGGGGGAGGUAGAUUACAUUUCCAACCAAGAUGAAACAAGCUGGAGAAUAUCAGGUAAGGUGAAACACAUUCCAGGAAUCUCAGGCUCUUGGAGGGUGAAGUCUGAGGAGCACCGCUGAUUAAAGCAAUUACACAAUGCACACCUGCCCACUGUUCAUUUCUGCCUAUGCACGGCCCUCAUAUGUGGUUUGGUGCACAUAAUCUUGGGGGACCAUCCACUGAAAAGACUGGGGAACACUUCAGCUUAAAAAUACAACUUUUCUUUCUCUGAGGUUUUUUUUUUUUUUACCAUAAUCUGCUCCUUCCUCUUGGUUGCCAUGGUUACACAAAAUACUUACACUGGUACCUUUGUUACUGCCAUGUGAAGAUGAGUUAGGGAGAAGCAAGAAGCCUCCUCUUCCUGAAGAGGAAAGCGAGCAGCAGCCCCCAGGUUUCACCCCCACUCUACUCUGCAAGAGGCGGCCCCGGCAGCAGUGCUAGGCCAGCACCUCACUGUUGGCCAGACCACACCUCAGGCAGACAGAGGUGAACAUUUACAGCUCAGUUUGCUUUCAGAGAAUAUAAAAAAUUAAAAAAAAAGAAAGAAAGAAAGAAAGAAAAAGCCUAUGUUAUUGACAAGGCAAUUGUGUUGCUGUCCCCACCCAUGCUGGUUUUUCCCUCUUCUGGUCCUGUGGGAGGCCAUAGAAUCGUUAAGUUUAUUUCCACAAUCAGAAACCAGCUAGCCAUGACAGAGCUAAUAAAACAAGUGUGGGCCACAACAAACACAAGAUGGAACUCAUGUUACUCUAAUAAUAAUCCAAUCAUCAGGACUAGGCUAAUUUCCUCAUACUGCCAAGCUCCAGGCCACAAAUAAUUGACUUUAUUUUGAUUUUAGCCAACUGAGCUGUGAUUUCACCCUCUCUUCAGACUUCAGGUUAGUUUGAAGUUAGAAACUCUUUUAUCUUGACUUCUUUAAGAUGGAACAACUCAGAUCUGAGCUAAUAACUGGUUAUUAGAUUUUGAAGUCCUACUCAAGGCAAAUCCAAAAGCUAAGAGAAAUCUUCCCAGAUGCACUAAUGCCAACUAACCCAGUGCUUAUCUUUCUGCACUCAAACACACUACAAGUUUCAGUUGCCAUUUUUCUCUACAAAGGAUUUUUUAUAAUCUCACAGUUUUCACCACCUAUUUUCUUUACACUUUCACAUUAUGCCUCCAGAUCUCUGUGAACUGAUUGAUAUCCUUCUUUUUUUCUGAAAAUGUACUGCUACUAAUGGCUAACAAAUAAAACAAAUAAUACUUGCUCACUUUUUGAGCAUCUCCUUAUGGACUUUUUUCUUUUCCUGCAUGCUUUUUUCACCAGAUUGAAAUUAACACUUUUUGUUCACAAGUGAAAUAGUUAGCAGUUUAGUAUUUAGAGUCCAAAAAACACAUCAUAUUGUCAAGUGUGUUAAAAAUGUCACAGAGAAAGUUGAUUGCAAGCUUAUAAUCUAUACGCAGGAAUUCAGCCACCCAGUUUCAAUGCAUUACAUGCUUCUGCUAGGUUUAUUACAUCUCAGUUUUUCUUAAAGUAAACAGGGCUCCAUCACUGAAUUAAUUAGUAGAACAGGUAGGAACAAGAGAUUAUUUCAAAUUUUAAAUAUCAGAUAUCUGUACCAGACAUACUGUGGUAACAGAAAUUAGUACACUAGAAGAUAUCACCUGAACCAGGAAACAAAUGGAAGUGGACUUUGUGGCUUCCUAGUUUUGUAGCUGUCAAUGAAUAGCUGAAGAUUAAGCAAUAGAGUACAAAAGGCCUAUAAAAUUCUAAACAAGGGCACAUGACUAUAAACCCAGAAUCACUAUCCAGUCUGAAUGUUAGAGGCCCCUUCUCUCACAAUAAGUCAAGUUCUAUUAUAAUUAAAAAUCUGAUAAAUAGCCAUAGAUUUGGAGAAGUUCUAUAUGGCAAAGUCAACUAAGAGUAUUAAGGCAGUAGAAUUAAAUACAGGGAGUAUCUGUGGCUGUCAUGAGAAUUAAGAUAAGGAAAGUCAAGGCUGCCCAGAGCUUAUGCUGAGUAAGAGACUCCUUUAAGUUCAAAGUCACCGAGGACCUCACAUCUCAGAUUUUCAAAGCAAGAAAACAAAUAAGCAAUGUAUUUAUUUAUAGGAAACUCUUAAAGAAGUACUGGGUGCAAGAUGCUAUUUCUUGAAGAACUGAAGGUCAGAUUAAUUUGGGAAGAAACAAAGUGUUUAUUGUGAGGGACGGGCCAGAGUCCAAUGCUCAUCAAUUUUAAAAUAUAGGAAACUGUCCCAUAUUCCCCCACGGAAUAAGUUGAGAAGCAGAAAAAGCAUAGCACAGUUUCCAAAUGUGAUACAAUAGCUCUUGAGAUUGCACGGUCUGAGAGAUCAGAUAAAUGCAUUAGUAUAUCCUACAUAUGUUUUUAAAAGUACCAUAUGACACAGAAUUAUAGUAUAUAUAAACAGCACAAUAAAAAGCAGAAAUUACAAAACAGGAUCACAUCAUAAAUGCCAGAAAUUCACUGCAAAACCAUAGAUAUAGUGCAACCAAAUUUGCAACACAUAUCUUGUGUACAUAAAUUAAUUUUUAGAGACAGAAAAUGCUCUGAUAAGAUCUGCAAGAUUGGGAAGUUCAUCCAUGAACAUGUAAGGACUUGAAAAGAAAGCUGGAAAAAGACUUACUGUCUCCAUGGUAUCAGGGAACUGGUCCUGGAUAUAACUUCUCAUAAUUGUAGGAGGAAAAAAACUAACUUUGCUACCAUGGAAACAGAAGGGUGCAAUGUAACUGGUUAUUACUUGUCUCCCUUAACAAGACUGAUUCCUAACAUGUUAAGGCCCUCAGAAACAUAGGUAAUUUCUUUUCCACCUGAGAAAUAAAUGUGUUACAAAAGGAACAAGGCGAAGCUAUUCAACGAGCUCACCAAGCAUGGGGAGAACAGCUCAGGAAUGACAGGUAUUUCUGAGAGCAGUGGGGGAUUACAGAGUGGAGGAAGGGAACAAAAGAAAGAUCAAGAGGGAAGAUACCAUGAUGACAGAAGAAAUCAGGGAAAGGGAGUUUGGGUUGAUUAGCGAGAUAGCAAACAAGGCCUUGGCAUUGAGUGGCUGGAUCCUGGUCCUGCUAAAGAGAACCUUUUAAGUAAACAGAGCAGCAAAUAUGAGAUGGAUGGUACCUUGCC